Molecule: long non-coding RNA, 736 nt
Organism: Mustela lutreola (European mink)
Lineage: Eukaryota; Metazoa; Chordata; Mammalia; Carnivora; Mustelidae
Exons: 4
Source: RefSeq, a predicted model, not a curated record
AGAAGAGGCCCUGUGAAGAUAUUGGAAGACAGGUGUCUACAAGCCAGGAAGAGAGGCCUUGCCAAAAUCCAACCCUGAUGACAAUUUGAUCUUGGACUUCUGCCCCUGGAACUUGAAAUGUUAGCGCUACUGCUGCCAACUUUCCACCCGCUUUGGAGGAAGCUGGAGUACCAGAGGGAGGCAGACCGUACAGAAGCAGAAAAAGCAUUGUCUCAAGGCUCACCCCCAAAGCAUUAAAAAGGCAUUUCACUCAGCAAAAGAAUAUUUUGAUUAUGCAAAACAGAUGUCACAUCCCAGCCCCGUGUUGCUAAGUCUCACAAGAGAACAUCUUGAACUGCAACGAAAUUAUGAAGCCACAUAAAAGGUUUCUCCCUCACUGUCCCUCGUCUUCUAAUACUAAAGAAGCAACUAAAGAAGAUUUUGCAAAUCAUUAUAAUUUUUAUGUAAUAGGUAAUUCAUUUAUUUCCCUAAUUUUUUAUAAUGGAUGUGGAUUGUUUUCAUACUCAGAAAAGGAGUUAUUUUUUAAAUAGUAAAGUUAAUUGAGCCUUAAUCUUUUAUUCCUUGGAAGUAGAAUUUUGCCCUCAAAUCCCUAAGAUAAACUAAAUAUUUGCAUGACAUCCUAGUAAGAGAAACUACUGGCUGAUUUUUGAAAAAUGAAAUUCAAGUUACUCAAUCAAGAAAAAAAUUUGCUGUCUUCUCUCUCCAUAAUUUCCCUCCUUCUUAAUCAUACUUUACC